This 197-nucleotide ribosomal RNA is filed under the name uncultured bacterium. RNAcentral describes it as "partial 16S ribosomal RNA". It matches the Rfam family "Bacterial small subunit ribosomal RNA", at positions 328 to 539 of the family's 1533-position model. The record is from RNAcentral.
ACGCUCGACACCUACGGGGGCAGCAGUGGGGAAUAUUGCACAAUGGGGGAAACCCUGAUGCAGCGACGCCGCGUGAGCGAAGAAGUAUCUCGGUAUGUAAAGCUCUAUCAGCAGGGAAGAAAAUGACGGUACCUGACUAAGAAGCACCGGCUAAAUACGUGCCUGCAGCCGCGGUAAUCUGAGCGGGCUGGCAAGGC